GACAGAGGAUGCAAGCGUUCUCCGGAAUGAUUGGGCGUAAAGCGUCUGUAGGUGGCUUUUUAAGUCUGCCGUCAAAUCCCAGGGCUUAACCCUGGACAGGCGGUGGAAACUACCAAGCUGGAGUACGGUAGGGGCAGAGGGAAUUUCCGGUGGAGCGGUGAAAUGCGUAGAGAUCGGAAAGAACACCAACGGCGAAGGCACUCUGCUGGGCCGACACUGACACUGAGAGACGAAAGCUAGGGGAGCAAAUGGG
This 253-nucleotide ribosomal RNA is filed under the name uncultured bacterium. Its description in RNAcentral is "partial 16S ribosomal RNA". It matches the Rfam family "Bacterial small subunit ribosomal RNA", at positions 524 to 776 of the family's 1533-position model. The record is from RNAcentral.